GUGCCAGCCGCCGCGGUAAUACGGAAGGUCCGGGCGUUAUCCGGAUUUAUUGGGUUUAAAGGGAGCGCAGGCCGAUGGUUAAGCGUGACGUGAAAUGUAGCCGCUCAACGGCUGAACUGCGUCGCGAACUGGCUAUCUUGAGUGAGUUCGAUGUUGGCGGAAUUCGUGGUGUAGCGGUGAAAUGCUUAGAUAUCACGAAGAACUCCGAUUGCGAAGGCAGCCAACAAGGCCUUUACUGACGCUAAAGCUCGAAGGUGCGGGUAUCGAACAGGAUUAGAUACCCUGGUAGUCCGCACGGUAAACGAUGGAUGCCCGCUGUUUGCGAUAUACUGUGAGCGGCCAAGAGAAAUCGUUAAGCAUCCCACCUGGGGAGUACGCCGGCAACGGUGAAACUCAAAGGAAUUGACGGGGGCCCGCACAAGCGGAGGAACAUGUGGUUUAAUUCGAUGAUACGCGAGGAACCUUACCCGGGCUUGAACUGCAGCGGAAGGAUACAGAGAUGUUGACGCCCUUCGGGGCCGCUGUGGAGGUGCUGCAUGGUUGUCGUCAGCUCGUGCCGUGAGGUGUCGGCUUAAGUGCCAUAACGAGCGCAACCCUUUUCAUCAGUUGCCAUCAGGUGAUGCUGGGCACUCUGGUGAUACUGCCACCGUAAGGUGUGAGGAAGGUGGGGAUGACGUCAAAUCAGCACGGCCCUUACGUCCGGGGCUACACACGUGUUACAAUGGGGCAUACAGAAGGCAGGUUGCAUGCAAAUGCGAUCAAAUCUUAAAAGUGUCCCUCAGUUCGGAUUGGGGUCUGCAACCCGACCCCAUGAAGCUGGAUUCGCUAGUAAUCGCGCAUCAGCCAUGGCGCGGUGAAUACGUUCCCGGGCCUUGUACACACCGCCCGU
RNAcentral lists this ribosomal RNA (889 nucleotides) under uncultured bacterium. Its description in RNAcentral is "bacterial SSU rRNA". It matches the Rfam family "Bacterial small subunit ribosomal RNA", at positions 505 to 1397 of the family's 1533-position model. The record is from RNAcentral.